UUGGAGGGCAAGUCUGGUGCCAGCAGCCGCGGUGAUUCCAGCUCCAAUAGCGUAUAUUAAAGCUGUUGCAGUUAAAAAGCUCGUAGUUGAAAUUCGAAAUUUGUCCUAUGGUCGGGCUUUACGGUCCGUACAGUAGUGGUGAAUUUCUACCUUCUGAAGAACCUUCAUGUCAUUAAUUUGGUGUGUUGGGAAAUCAGGACUGUUACUUUGAAAAAAUUAGAGUGUUUAAAGCAAGCUAACGCUUGAAUACAUUAGCAUGGAAUAAUGAAAUAGGACGUUCGAUCCUAUUUUGUUGGUUUCUAGGAUUGACGUAAUGAUUAAUAGGGAUAGUUGGGGGCAUUAGUAUUCAAUUGUCAGAGGUGAAAUUCUUGGAUUUAUUGAAGACUAACUACUGCGAAAGCAUUUGCCAAGGAUGUUUUCAUUAAUCAAGAACGAAAGUUAGGGGAUCGAAGACGAUCAGAUACCGUCGUAGUCUUAACCAUAAACUAUGCCGACUAGGGAUCGGAUGAUGUUAAUUUUUUAAUGACUCAUUCGGCGCCUUACGGGAAAC
Molecule: ribosomal RNA, 550 nt
Filed under: uncultured Entrophospora
Lineage: Eukaryota; Fungi; Glomeromycota; Glomeromycetes; Entrophosporales; Entrophosporaceae
Description: SSU rRNA
Rfam family: Eukaryotic small subunit ribosomal RNA
Source: RNAcentral